This 467-nucleotide ribosomal RNA is filed under the name Treponema sp. oral taxon 238. RNAcentral's name for it is "bacterial SSU rRNA". It matches the Rfam family "Bacterial small subunit ribosomal RNA", at positions 29 to 480 of the family's 1533-position model. Lineage: Bacteria; Pseudomonadati; Spirochaetota; Spirochaetia; Treponematales; Treponemataceae. The record is from RNAcentral.
AACGAACGCUGCGGCGCGUCUUUAAGCAUGCAAGUCGUACGGCAAGAGAGAGCUUGCUUCUCUCCUAGAGUGGCGGACUGGUGAGGAACACGUGGGUAAUCUUACCCUUAAGUGGGGAUAGCUGCUUAGAAAUAGCAGAUAAUACCGAAUACACUCGGUCUUUCAUAAGAGAGAUUGAGGAAAGAGGCUACGGCCUCGCUUGAGGAUGAGCUUGCGUCCCAUUAGCUAGUUGGUGAGGUAAAGGCUCACCAAGGCAACGAUGGGUAUCCGGCCUGAGAGGGUGAUCGGACACAUUGGGACUGAGAUACGGCCCAAACUCCUACGGGAGGCAGCAGCUAAGAAUAUUCCGCAAUGGACGAAAGUCUGACGGAGCGACGCCGCGUGGAUGAAGAAGGCUGAAAAGUUGUAAAAUCCUUUUGUUGAUGAAGAAUAAGGAUAAGAGGGAUGCUUAUCUGAUGACGGUAAUC